Long non-coding RNA from Helianthus annuus (common sunflower), 830 nucleotides. RefSeq lists it as uncharacterized. The record is from RefSeq and is a predicted model, not a curated record. The transcript is spliced from 2 exons. NCBI's taxonomy places the organism in Eukaryota, Viridiplantae, Streptophyta, Magnoliopsida, Asterales, Asteraceae.
UCUCUUUCCCACCUAUACCAUCACCAUUUACACCCAUCUUUCUCUCACUAAAACUGUACCCAAAAGAUGAACAAGAAGAAAAGAACUGAAGCUGAAAGCUGUUUUCUUUUGAGGGGAAUGUUGUCUGGCUCGAGGCCACUAGAUGCUUCUCUCUUUAUAUAUCUAUAUAUAUCUUAGUCAACGCAACUAUUGUUUAUCAUCUUUGUUGACAAAUGAUGUUUGUGAAAUGUUUGAUUACUGCGAGAAGUUACUGAUCUGGUGUCGUCGGACCAGGCUUCAUUCCCCCCAAUUGUGGCUUCCUGUGUUCUAAAAGAAUUGUUUUUUCUUGAAUCUACAUGUUUCCAUCAUGAAAUGAUCCGGUUUUUGAGGUGAAGAUCUGUUUGGAAGGCGAGAAACGAGCUCAUCUUUUCUAACAAGGAGAUUAGUCCGGCCAAAGUGACUAAAGACAUAAAAUUGAUUGGGUAUUUGUGGAUUAGAAAUAGAUCUUCAUGUAAAUUGAUAGAUUGGUCGGAUUAGUGUAGGUUUUGUUUGUAAGCGGUGUUGUUUGUUUGAGACUAACGUGUUGCUAGAUGCUGGUUUUGAAUAAAAGUUGCGGUUCAAAAGAAAAAAAAAGCAUUUGAAGGAGAAGGUGGGUGUAAUGAUGAUAAAUCUUGUUUGACUCCAGUUUAACUCUGCCAAAAUAUCCAGAAAACCGAAUCCUACCAAAAAGGUUUUCUAAUCAUUGCUACUCUACAAAAUCUGGAAACUAAUUGGAAAAGGAUUGUGGAUUUGGACUGGUAUUGUAAACACUGAUUUUGCCAUCAUGAUGAUGGCCUUCAAGAGUCUGAGAU